GUGCGCGGGCGGAUGGAUCAACGCCGCCAAGUGGGUAAGGUCUGAGGAUUGCGUCAUUAGGCGAUUUUGUUGCUGUACGAACACCACAGAAUGUACUUUGACGACCUAGAUGGUGGAGCCUGGACACACCUCGGCUCUGUGGUGUGGCCUGCUGCUUCCAGGCUGCAAACCUGACAGCAUGGGGCUGUACUGAAUACCGCAGACCAUUGUAAUUCAUGGGGAAAGCGCGAAUGCAGUCCCCCACUACAACAAAUUAUGCAGUCGAGUUUUCCACAUUUGGGAAUAUCACAGGGGUCAGCACAUCCGGAGUGCAAUCGAUGAGCCCCACGCUGGGAAAAACCACCUUCGUGAUCAUGGUAUCUUCCCUGCCAGCAACCUAAUCACAGAGCCUCCCAGCCCGAUGCUACAAAGAGCCGCAUGCUGCCAGUUUCCUUGUGGGCAGGGACCUAUGUAUUAUAAUGGUGAAUAUAUUUAUACUUGAAUCCACAGAGAAGACACAGUAGACUAGUCAUACCAUUGUGAGUAGUGCUCAGAUUCUUUCUUGACCCCCCAUCAUCCAAAAAUAUACCUUUCCAGUGUGGCAGUCUUGAACUUUUCCAAAUUCAGCUGCUGUUGGAGCUCUUCUGUUUUUCCCAGGGAAGGCCGGAGAACUGUAUUUCUGGCCAGAGCUGCUGCAGAAGGUCUCUGUUCGGCAUCAGGUUGGAUCAUGUUCUGAUGAUAUAGGACCAAGAGGAAAGAAACAGAAGCUUCACUAUUGGGAAAAAUCUUCCCAUUCAAGCCAACUCCAACCCAGCUUCUCCUGGUGGAUUUUAGAGAAACCAAUCAGCUUCAUUUUCAACUUCUUCUAUGACUCCAGAGGAUUCACUUUGCAUCUUGUGACAAAUGAAUAUAUUACCUGAAAAAAAAAUGACAGGAUAGAUAUUGAAGAAAUAAUUUUUUAUAGGACUCUGGAGUGAAGGGAUUAAUAUUGACCAGAGCCAAUGAGGUCAUCUCAUCCUUGAGGGGAGCAGGUGUGAGCUUCAAAUGCUUAGGGCCUCUGGAAGGAAGCUUCCCUGUUGGAGAAAUCACCAACCGGCUCAGCAUGGUCUGAAUGAGGAUGACAAAAGGAGUUGCUGCACAGGGGGAAAGCGAAGUUCCCAGGAGUAAGAUGUGCAAGAAGCGGGCAGCCUUGCAUCUCAGGGCUGAGUUCCCUCAACUGUGUGCUUGAGGGAAGUUCUCCCCUUGCAGACACACUGCUGAGUGAUAAGGAAGCACCUAGACUCCACUCUGACCAGACUUGGUUCUGAGGCCUAUGAAAUGUUGAUGGGAAGAACAGAAGCAGGAAAAUCUAUCUAUUCAAAUUUGCAAGACGUGGAAACUUUUAUUCACCUUCCUGGUUAGACUGUUCCUUUGUCAAAGUAAAGCUAAGGCCAUGGAAAAUGAGCUAUUUGAGAGUUUGUCGCUCCAAGGAAGAACAUGCUGGCCUAAUUGUCCCCCAAGUCAGGAGAGAGAAUUGUAAAAAACACUUAAACAGGCCUAAGUAAAGGUCCAGCACAUUAUUUAUUUAAGACUGAAUUAGAACUGAGUCAUUCCGACUCUGAAAAAAGAGUGUUGUUGGAUUCUUAUGUAUUUAAUGGGUCUGCCCUAUUGAAAACCAUUGUGAAGUAUGGUUUCCCAAGCAAGAAAUGACACUUUCACUGUCAGUCUUUCUAGGAGUCUGGCAGAAUCCAGGACCGGGAUUACCCUUAUUUAUGAAGCGACCUUAGACUAACAGUGGCUCUCUGGGUCUCCAGACAAUUGGCCAGGGACUCUAAAAACCAGAAACAAAGUUGAGAGAACUCCAUGCUGGUGGAGAAAAACAGCUGGCCUUUAUCACCAGAAUGUGCCCCAUAGAAGCAGCAAAGCAGCAAGCGACGUUCUUAAACAAGGGCCUGUGGGCCUCGUCAAGAUCUGGAGGAAUCAUCUACGACUCACUGCUGAGUGAGAGGGCUAGGCAGUGUCUUUAAGGUCCUGCCAGCUUUAACAUUGUAUGCUUUUUCUUUUGUUCAAUCUCUCACCACAACUGGAAGUGUUGCCUCAACUACACAGGAGAAAGUUUGCAGUAACUUAGAGAAAACAUUAUUUUAAUCACCAGUGUAUGUUCUCCUGCUCCCUGGACAAAUCCAUCAGCAGCGGCAACACUGACCAGGUCCAGAUUGGGGCCGCUGCGGUGGAUGUGAAUCCAUUGAAACUAGGGGUCUCCAGUGCUCCUGA
This 2232-nucleotide long non-coding RNA is filed under the name Homo sapiens (human). Its description in RNAcentral is "non-protein coding WEE2-AS1:13". The record is from RNAcentral. Lineage: Eukaryota; Metazoa; Chordata; Mammalia; Primates; Hominidae.